This is a long non-coding RNA of Neofelis nebulosa (Clouded leopard), 2482 nucleotides long. RefSeq lists it as uncharacterized. NCBI's taxonomy places the organism in Eukaryota, Metazoa, Chordata, Mammalia, Carnivora, Felidae. The transcript is spliced from 5 exons. The record is from RefSeq and is a predicted model, not a curated record.
CAAGUUCCAUGCUCAGUGCAGAGCCCAAUUGGGGCUCAAUCCGAUGAUCCUGGCAUCAUAGCCUGAGCUAAAAUCAAGAGUCAAAAUCUCAAGUGAUUGAGCCAUCCAGGUGCCCCUAUCUGUCACCCAGUGCCUUUGAUUUGAGCAUUUAUUCUGUUUCCUUUCAAAGUAAUUGACAGACAUGUACUUGUCCUUUUAUUACUUGGUGAUGGUUGUUUCUGAAUCUUUUUGAUCCUUUCUUCUCUUUCUCUUUUUUAUGGUUUGCUGGGUUUCUUUAGUACCACAGUUGAAAUUGCUUGUCUUUAUAGUCUACAUAUGUAUUGGUGGUGUUUGAUUUGUGGUUAUUAUUAGGAUUGUACCUAACCACUUGUGCAUAUAGAAGUCUAUAUUAAGUUGAUAGUUGUUUAAGUUUGAACCGGUUCUUUACUCCUCUCCUCCCCGUGUUGUAGAUAUGUAGUGUCAUAUUUCAAAACCUUUCAUAUCGCGAAUACUUUGGCUGAUGUUUUACAGAUAUACUCAUUUUUAUUGCUUUUGCGUUUCACACUUUAAUAUUGUCACUUUAGGUGUUUCUUUUCCACUUAAAGGGUCCCCUUUAACAUUUCUUGCAGGGGUGGUUUGUUGGUUGUGAACUCGCUGAGUAUUUAUUCUGGAACCUCUUGAUCUCUCCUUCCAUCUGAAUGAUAGUGUUGUGGAUAGACUCUCUUUGGCUGCAGAUGUUAUCCAUUCAGCACCUUUACCAUACCGUGCUGCUCACUUACAGUUUCAAAGUUUCUUCUGAAAAACAUCCAGUGAUAACCUUAUGGGGUUUCUCUUGUAGGUAGUUGUCAUCUUUUGUUUUCCUGCUGUUAAAUUUUUUCUUUAUCACGACAUUUUGCAUUUUAAUUACUAUGACUUGAUGUGGAUCUGCUUCUGUUGAAUAUUUUGGGGGUUCUUUGUGCCUCCUGCUUCUGGGUCUGUUUCAUUCCCCGCAUUAAGGAAGUUUUCAUCUAUUGUGUCUUCAAAUAAAUUUUCUGGUUCCAUUUCUCAGAGUUCUGAGAAUGAGAAAUAGGACAGGAGAGACCUAUGAAGUUUCUUUGAUGAGUCACUGGAUUUGCAUGUGUGGAGGAUAGAUUUGGGACUCAAAUGAACAAUCUACCUUUAACUUAAAAGAACUAGAAAAAAACAACAAUCUACCAAUGUCCAAUGUUCUCAAAAGGGAGAAAUUAAUCCAUAUGAGAGUGGAAACGAAUGAAUUUGAGACCAUGAAAUCAAUAGAAAAUAUGAUGAAGACCAAAAGUGGGUUUUCUGAAGAGUGAAACAAAAUUUUCAAGAUUAUACAUCGACUAUGCUAAGACAGAGAGAGGACCCAACUCAAAAUAAUUAUAAAUAAAAGUGUAGACAUUACACCUGAUACCAAAGAAACAUAAAGGAGACAAAGAGGCCACCAUGGCUAAAUUAGAUGCCAGCAAACCGCCUACCCAGAAGAAAUGGAUAGGUUCUUAGAAACACACAAUAUACCAAGACUGUAUCAGGAAGAAAUAGAAGGUUUGCACAGACCCAUUAAAGGAAGACUGCAUCAAUACAAGAAGAUAACCAAAUCUAUGCAAGUCAGAAUCAACCUCCAUCCACCUCCAUCCUUUAUGAGACCUAAGACGUGAUGCAGCUCCCAUGGGAAAUAUCAGUUUUGUCUCUACCAAGGAUGCAGAGAAAGACAAGAUUCAGGCUUGUUUCCAGGAAGAAACCCUAACAAAUUCAGAAGAACGGGAGCUGCAUUCCAUUAGGACGUGAAUACAUGAAAUGUUUGUCUCAGGACCUUCUAGAAGAAUGAGCUGGGACCCACUUUCCGAGUCCUGCUGGAACCAGAGACCGAGCUGUACCUGUGACACAGGACACGAGAGAACGUGCUCAUGUGAACACAAGUGAAGGACACCGUGGGGACUUGCCACACAGGGUUGCAAAGACGAGGGCCAUGAAAUGGCACUACCACGUUGAUGGGUAUGAUUCAUUGUACAACACACUGCUUUCCUACAGAUGAUGACAAUUGACACCACCCCCGAGGAAUGUUAGCAUGGACAAAGUUUCCACACAGUCUGGCCACUACUUGAAUCUGCAAAUGUUUAGAAACUUAAUUGUUUUAUUCUUUCUAAACUUACCUUUUUUAUCUGUUCAUACUCUAUGCAUAUGUUGACUUUAAACAUUGCAAAAAGAUUAAAAACCAAAAAAUGAACAGCAGUUCCAUGAGCUGCUGGUAAUUACUAGCUGAACUCACUUGUACUUGGUUAUUUCUUCUGUAGCUAUUUUUUUCCUAAUGUUUAUUUAUUUUUGAGACAGAGAGUGAGUGAGCACAUGCAUGAGCGGGGGAGGGACAGAGAGAGAUGUAACAGAAUCCAAAACAGGCUCCAGGCUCUGACCUGUCAGCACAGAGCCUGACAUGGGGCUCGAACUCACGGAUUGUGAAAUUAUGACCUGAGCUGAAGUUGGAUGCUUAAAUGACUGAGCCACC